RNAcentral lists this ribosomal RNA (774 nucleotides) under uncultured Neocallimastigales. Its description in RNAcentral is "partial large subunit ribosomal RNA". It matches the Rfam family "Eukaryotic large subunit ribosomal RNA", at positions 22 to 639 of the family's 3401-position model. Lineage: Eukaryota; Fungi; Neocallimastigomycota; Neocallimastigomycetes; Neocallimastigales. The record is from RNAcentral.
GUACACGCUGUGACUAGCAUAUCAAUAAGCGGAGGAAAAGAAACUAACAAGGAUUCCCCUAGUAACGGCGAGUGAAGCGGGAAGAGCUCAAAUUUGAAAUCUUAAAGGGUUUCCCUUUACGAAUUGCAGUUUAAAGAAGUGUUUUCUGUUGAGGUUUUGGUAAAAGUUCUUUGGAAUAGGACAUCAUAGAGGGUGAGAAUCCCGUAUUUGACCUUUACUUUCAACUUUGUGAUACACUUUCAAAGAGUCGGAUUGUUUGGGAAUGCAGUCCUAAAUGGGUGGUAAAUUUCAUCUAAAGCUAAAUAUUGGCGAGAGACCGAUAGCGAACAAGUACCGUGAGGGAAAGAUGAAAAGAACUUUGAAAAGAGAGUUAAACAGUACGUGAAAUUGUCAAAAGGGAAGCGUUUGACACCAGUGUUGUUUUUCUGAAAAUCAAUUAAAGAACUGUUUAUGCUAAGUUGUUUAGACUUUAUCAGCUAACUGUUUAGUUUUGAGCUUUUCUUUAAUGCACUUUUCAGUUAACAAGUCAACAUCAAUUUCUUUUGCUGUAAAAAAGCUUGAGGAAGGUGGCUUGAGAUUCGUCUUAAGUGUUUAUAGCCUCUUGCCUAUGCAGUCGGAGAGAUUGAGGUCUGCAGCGUAGAUCCUUCGGGGCUAAAUGCAUUUGUGCUAAGUUAUAGCAUUUUAUAGACAACUUGUUGACUAUGACUUGUCUUGUAGCUUACUCGCUUAUGUUAUUUUACCUACGCUUAGGAUGUUGACGCGCGUGUGUGCGUG